This 650-nucleotide ribosomal RNA is filed under the name uncultured bacterium. RNAcentral's name for it is "partial 16S small subunit ribosomal RNA". It matches the Rfam family "Bacterial small subunit ribosomal RNA", at positions 94 to 742 of the family's 1533-position model. The record is from RNAcentral.
ACCGGCGCACGGGAGCGUAACGCGUAUGCAAUCUACCUUUUACAGAGGGAUAGCCCAGAGAAAUUUGGAUUAAUACCUCAUAGUAUAUAGCCCUGGCAUCAGGAUUAUAUUAAAGUCACAACGGUAAAAGAUGAGCAUGCGUCNNNNNNNCUAGUUGGNNNNGUAACGGCUUACCAAGGCUACGAUGGGUNNGGGUCCUGAGAGGGAGAUCCCCCACACUGGUACUGAGACACGGACCAGACUCCUACGGGAGGCAGCAGUGAGGAAUAUUGGACAAUGGGCGCAAGCCUGAUCCAGCCAUGCCGCGUGCAGGAUGACGGUCCUAUGGAUUGUAAACUGCUUUUAUACGAGAAGAAACACUCCUUCGUGAAGGAGCUUGACGGUAUCGUAAGAAUAAGGAUCGGCUAACUCCGUGCCAGCAGCCGCGGUAAUACGGAGGAUCCAAGCGUUAUCCGGAAUCAUUGGGUUUAAAGGGUCCGUAGGCGGUUUAAUAAGUCAGUGGUGAAAGCCCAUCGCUCAACGGUGGAACGGCCAUUGAUACUGUUAGACUUGAAUUAUUAGGAAGUAACUAGAAUAUGUAGUGUAGCGGUGAAAUGCUUAGAGAUUACAUGGAAUACCNAUUGCGAAGGCAGGUUACUACUAAUUGAUUG